This 468-nucleotide ribosomal RNA is filed under the name uncultured bacterium. Its description in RNAcentral is "bacterial SSU rRNA". It matches the Rfam family "Bacterial small subunit ribosomal RNA", at positions 28 to 523 of the family's 1533-position model. The record is from RNAcentral.
GAUGAACGCUGGCGGCGUGCCUAACACAUGCAAGUCGAGCGAUUUACUUCGGUAAAGAGCGGCGGACGGGUGAGUAACGCGUGGGUAACCUGCCCUGUACACACGGAUAACAUACCGAGAGGUAUGCUAAUACGAGAUAAUAUACUUUUAUCGCAUGGUAGAAGUAUCAAAGCUUUUGCGGUACAGGAUGGACCCGCGUCUGAUUAGCUAGUUGGUAAGGUAACGGCUUACCAAGGCGACGAUCAGUAGCCGACCUGAGAGGGUGAUCGGCCACAUUGGAACUGAGACACGGUCCAAACUCCUACGGGAGGCAGCAGUGGGGAAUAUUGCACAAUGGGCGAAAGCCUGAUGCAGCAACGCCGCGUGAGCGAUGAAGGCCUUCGGGUCGUAAAGCUCUGUCCUCAAGGAAGAUAAUGACGGUACUUGAGGAGGAAGCCCGGCGUAACUACGUGCCAGCAGCCGCGGUAA